Molecule: ribosomal RNA, 301 nt
Filed under: uncultured bacterium
Lineage: Bacteria
Description: partial 16S ribosomal RNA
Rfam family: Bacterial small subunit ribosomal RNA
Source: RNAcentral
CAGCCGCCACGGGAAAACGAAGGGGGCUAGCGUUGCUCGGAAUGACUGGGCGUAAAGGGCGCGUAGGCGGUUUUGACAGUCAGAUGUGAAAUUCCUGGGCUUAACCUGGGGGCUGCAUUUGAGACGUCAAGACUAGAGUGUGAGAGAGGGUUGUGGAAUUCCCAGUGUAGAGGUGAAAUUCGUAGAUAUUGGGAAGAACACCGGUGGCGAAGGCGGCAACCUGGCUCAUUACUGACGCUGAGGUGCGAAAGCGUGGGGAGCAGACAGGAUUAGAGACCCGCGUAGUCCCUGUCUCUUAUAA